Molecule: RNA transcript, 2277 nt
Organism: Rhodamnia argentea
Lineage: Eukaryota; Viridiplantae; Streptophyta; Magnoliopsida; Myrtales; Myrtaceae
Exons: 5
Source: RefSeq, a predicted model, not a curated record
GUCCAGUGAUUUAUAUCCAUGGGAAACACAAGACGCAUCAUCAAACGUUUGGGUAAACGAGUGGUGCAGGUAAGCUACGAGUUAGAAGAGAAGGUUGAGAAACAACGCAAUGGUCGCAAGCUACACUCUAAUUCAGGGACUGCAAAUGUGAACGCGUCAGGUAAUACCUACCUAUGUAUAUUGCUCUGAAGUUCUGCAUCAUGAUAUACUAAUGUGGUCCAAGUAUUGGUCUGGUUUGAUAGUGUUUUAUCCUUCUUUUGAUAUUUUUAGAAUUUACUGUCUGAUAGAUUCCUCUAGAAAACAAAAGCGCGGGUUCACGCGUCUUCCGGGUGUAUGGAAUCUUCCUCCUGGGAAACGCACCAGGGUUCUGUUAGGGAAGAAAAUGCAGCCUAUUGGAGUUGAAGGAGGUUUGCUCGGGAGUUUCUCGGGACCAUUGCUAGAAAUGGCGAGUUGGCACCAUUGUUCACAACUUGGAAGCAAAUUACUGAAGAUAUGAGACAUGCUAUGAUUCGGAUUGUAGAGUCCAAAUUUGAUUAUCCUCGUAUACCAGCUAUGGAAAAAUGGAUUCUACAUUCCAUAAACUCUAAAUGGAGAAAUUGGAAAAGCAAUCUAAAAGCUGCUCACUACGAUAGCUCUCAGCCAUUAUCACAUCAUCUGAAGCAUCUUCCGGAAAGGGUGAGAAGAGAUCAAUGGAAAAAGCUUGUCGCUUUUUGGAGUUCAAAGGAAGGGAAGAAGCUGAGCAACAUAAAUAAGGCUAAUAGAGCAAAACAGAAGAUACGGCACACCUUAGGGAAAAAAAGUUUUGCAAGGAUAACAGCAGAAAAGGUUUAUCUAGCUUGCAAGGUCCACCAUCAUCAUUCACGAAUGAUCUAUACAGCGGCUAGAGCUGUAAAGUAAACUUGAGAUUAUGAAACCUGUACAGAUUUCUAUAACUUAAACCAUCAUACAUGCGUGCACACUUACCACAAUGGUUGCAAAACCAUUCAAUAUAGUUCAUCUAAUAUCGACCAAUGUUAUGCAGUCUUGGCAAUGACAAUAUUGCUACUACGAUGCACAGAAUUUAUACAGUUAUAUGAGCAGAAGCCGAACGGAUCAAGAAUAGAGAGCGAGCUGGAAUGAAUAGUCUAAAAUUAAAACCCAAAAAGGCUAAUUUCCUAGUGUGUGUUUUCAUAUGGUUUCGGUGGAUGACAAGUCAUAUGACAAUCACCAAGGAAAAAUCAUAGAAAGGAAGGACGUGAUUAUUUUUUCAAUUUGAUAUCUUUGGACUUCUUUUCCUGUUUCACUGGACAUUGGGAAAUAAUGAAUGCCUUUUUGAUAUGGUUCGUUCAAUUAUGCUGACUAACCAAGCUCUGUCACAUGAUACAUCGAAUUCAAUGAAUUGCCUCUGUUAAUAGGAAGCAGAGUUAGGAAGGGAGCUAAAUCGUGUUGAUUUGUUCAUACUUAGUCACGAAAGAAAGAAGGGCAAGAAGCCGGUGGAUAAGGCUGUUGCAGAGGCUAUUGGAAGUAUGAAUGACCUCGCAGAGGUAUAUCCAGAACUUUGCAAGAGCGAUACCCCCUUAAAUGAAGAUGUUGUUUCUCUGGUGUUGGGAAAAGAGAAACCUGGACGCAUCCGAUGCUACGGCAUAGGGCCAUGCCCAAAAGACUUCAGGGCCUCCAACUCUAGUUGUCAUCCAAAGGAGAAGUUAAGGUCUGAGAAUGGAAAAGAUGAAGAGAUUCACAAGUUAAAGGAAGAAUUGAAAGCAGCAAAAGAGCAAUUGAAAACCACAAAUGGAGAUGUACAAGAGUUACAGGCCCAACUGAAAAAGAUGUCCAACAGAGUAGAGAAAUUGUCAGCAUACUGCAGACUUUAAGUGGUCUCACAAGAUCUGGACAUGGUCAGCAAUUCAUGAGACAUGGUAUGCAGCUAAUUUCAUUUAAUUCAACAUAGUGAAAGGUGUUUUAUUGACUAAAUAUUGAGUCACCUGGAUAUUGGGGACUAAGGUGGAUUAAAAGGGAAUAUUGGUGGAUAGGCUUGAAACAUGAGUUUGGUAUCCGGAUUGCUUUGAUGAAGAGCUUGAAAGAGAGGUAGAAAUGUAGCGUUAUGUAACCAUGUUUUUCCUUUUAGCUGUGAUUACAUCAUGUUUUGGGUUUGCUUCUAUUGCGUUAUGCCUUGCUCUUUUCAGUCUUUUUGAAGAAUACAAGUGAUUGCCCUUAUUAAUCACUGCUGUGUUGUUUCUCUUUCUUUCAGUGUUUCGAGAUAGGAACUAUUGAGCUGUCCUGUUCUUCUCUGUAUUGAUC